UCACACCCUUUUUCUCUUCUGAGGCACCCCCAAACCCUAGCCUGCCCCCUUUUUCCCAGUGCCUUAGGGUGGCGGUGCCACCUCCUCUCACGCCCAAAUCAAUACCACACAAUCUUCAAGACCCUCCCAUUCCGAGUCAUCCCUUAGUUUCUUUCAAAUAUACCCAAAACCUCUCGAAUCUUAAAUCUACAGUUCGAGUUCUAGAGGUCAAAGUCAAGUUCAUGCAUGCAAGGCUAAUGUUCCAGUUCCUAUGAGCUUUGAGGCAUGAUUUUAUCAUCAAAUAACUUUCGCAUGUUCUUAGCAAAGAACAAGCGAUUGACAUUAUUUGGAGAUUCAAUCGGAGGGUCGGUCGAAUUCUAACCUGAAUCAAUGGGUUUUUCUUAGUUUUUCGCUUCUCAUGUUUACCCCUUGUUCUUCUUCAUUUUCUUCUUCUCCGUGAAUUCGAGCUUUCUCUUGACUGAAAUUGGUUGUGAACCCAACUGCUUCCCUUCAAGUUAAUUUGUCAGUUCGUACUUGUUUCCCUUCAUGUUUAGUUUUCUUCGCAAUUGUUAAUAGUUGUGCCUUGACUUUGUUUACCUAUUGGUGCUUAUGUUUAGGUUUAAAUUCCUG
RNAcentral lists this long non-coding RNA (609 nucleotides) under Nicotiana benthamiana. Its description in RNAcentral is "long non-coding RNA (NBEN_LNC009198)". Lineage: Eukaryota; Viridiplantae; Streptophyta; Magnoliopsida; Solanales; Solanaceae. The record is from RNAcentral.